CCUAUUUAAAGUACAAACUAUGUAAAAUAUUUUAUACAAAACCAUCUUAAAAGUUGAAAAACCUAAUAAUUUUCUUAUCUUAUAUUCUUAUAAAUAAUAGUAGAAAAUAAUAAAUUAUUAGUUAAUACUAGGCUUGGAUUUUAAAGCAUAUGCUUUUUUUUAUACAUAAAAGUAUAAAACGUCAUUUUUCACGUCAUUCUGAUUCCAAAUACGCCAAUUUAUUUUUGCUUUUUUUAUGUUAAUGGGUACAUUUUUAGUUUUUUUCAGUUAUUUCAGCUACAGAAUUUUUAUUUUUUUAUUAUGAUACUAAAUAUAUUAAUACUAAAAAAUUGAACUAAUAAGAAACGUAAAAAACCAGAAUGCGUUAUGUAUAUAUUGGAUUAUUAUUGUUUUCGUUAUCAGCUUGUUUAUUAAAUGUAUUAAACAUAUUGAUCUACACAUAUUAUAGCAAACACUAACUACCUAUACGGUCAGUAUGUCUAUAACAUCGAUAUCGAUCAUUUCAAAGUUUAAGAUUUAGUGUUGUAAUUUGAAACCUCUUGUAUGAAGUGAAGUACGCACUGCUCAAUUUAGUGGAUAUAGAGAGUCGUUUUCUAUGUAUAAAAAUAUUCCGUCAGACAAUAUUGAGUCAGUUUCACAACUGCAAAUCUAGGAAAGACAUGGAAAAAUAUGACGAUCGGUAGUACAUCGUCGUGUGGCCGCCUUACCGAUUACUGGAUCCAUAAAAGACAAGAUUUUCAUAGUGUAUACUUUAAUAACAAUAAUUCCACACGAGCUGAUGCGUCGGAUUUUCGUGUGACAACUGACAACCAUAUUGGGCGAAGGAGCUUUCGGAUCUGUAGCAUUGACAACUAAUAAUAUAACUGACACUGUUCACGGCGUUCACGCUACAAAAUAGCCAAUUUAUCAGUUUCAAUUGAACACCCGUGGCGGCCAAUCUGAUGCACGAUUCUAAAGACAAAUCGUGAAUACGGUUUCUUGAUUUAGACUUGAUUAAAUUCAUAGUAGAAAAUGCCGAUUCACAAAUAUACGUACUGCCAAAUAAUGACAAAAUUUCAAGAGAAAAAUUCCGUAAUGUUGGGUAUUUUUCUUGCGAACACAGUUUCCAAAACUUUUCAGGAGGCAAAUUUACUUUUGAUUGAAGAAAACAGUCUGCUUGUAAAUCACAUAACUCCAUUUGAAAAUCGGGAGGUUGUACUGAGAUAUCAACUGUCAUUGGGUUGUUAAAUAAUUCAAAUUUAGGUUUCAAUAUAUAAAAAUCCUUAAAUCGUGAAUUAAAUUCUGUUAUAAGUUCUGUAAUUAUAUUUUUAAAUUCAAUAAAGCAUACCGAUUGAUUUUCAAUUUUUUUAAUUUCUUGACAUGAUGGAAAAUAUGUAGUAUCAUUGUUUUCUAAUGCGUUUUUAAAUACUUCUAAUUUUUUCCGAAAACCUUCAAUAUUACUAAAAAGCUAUUGCUGUUAGGUUUGGCACGUUCUAGAACUUGGCACGAGGGCGGUGUGAACUACGGUGGUUAUAAAAGUAUUAUACCGUAAAUGCUAGGCAAUUGGUAAAUAACAAUAUAUGGGACUAGUGGCAGCAAGAAUGGGAGGAGGAGGCAACCACUGGAGCGUGGACGAAGCGACUUAUACCGGACGUAAAGAGCUGGGCGAGCUGAACACAAGGGGCUUCGGGUUUUUACAUGACUCAGUUCUUGACAGGUCACGGUUGCUUCUUAGCAUACUUGCAUAGAUUUACGAGGGUGCAAAAUCCGUAUUGCAUGGCAUGUAGAUAUCCAAUAGACAACGCGGAAAACACGUUCUUCAAAUGCGGCCGAGCAAACGUGUAAAACUGGUAAAUUCAGUUGGCGAGAAAGUCACUCCAGAAUCUAUAGUCUCUAUUAUGCUAAAAAAAAUAGUGAGCCGUCGCGGGACGCUUGACAGAUGUGAAACAUCAAAAACAACCCCAAAUAGAAGCAUUUAUCAUUCUUUAAUCCGAAUUCUAUACAUUCGACCAAGAGCAUCAGUAUAACGCAUGCUUUGCUCUUGUGAUUGAAAAGCACAAAGUCAAGCCAUACUAACGCGGCGCUCUUCACGUGCAAUUUCUUGUUCUUCUUUAGUCCUUUAAUUUGCAAUGUUUCGAAUCCUAGUUGUAUUACGGCUUUAUUGUGAACGAUUUGUUCGUCUUAAUCAUGACAUGGUAUUGUUAAAUCAUAAAAAUAAAUUUAUUUUUAAUUUUAAAUUCGAUUCAUCAAUAGUUAUGGAGACAUUAUUAUUGUUAUUGUAAUUUGUAACUAAUAGCAACCAAACUAAAAUAUGAAAUUACUAAAAUUUCUAUCGUAAAUCUCAAAAUGUCUGUUUGAGAUGCCGAGCUUCGGGGAAUUGAGCCGACGAGCCAUGACGCGUCGCCACGUCACAGUUGGUUUCACUACCAUACCGCGUCAUUAGAUGUUUCACAGCUGGGAUUCUGUAGACCGGUAUAUCACGCUGGUAUUGGCCACUAAAGAGAAGAAAGACCAGCAAAGGCAAAGGGAUCAUCAUAAGUAACCAUAGAUUGCGGAUCAAAUAAAUGCCAGAGUGCUGCUAAAAUUAUACAAUAAUGUACCUAAUUUAAUGAAAUGUAUUUUCAAAAAAUAAUAAUAAUUGCGACGUGAUUUCCAAACGUAUUAUAAAUUAUGUAGUAGGACAAAUCACUGAAGAAUUCAUCUCUGCUGCAUAUAGUUUCGAUGAGUGUACUUGAUUGAUGAAUGUACUUGAAUUUUUCGAUAAUAUAAUUACAUAUAUUGGU
Aphis gossypii (cotton aphid) is the source of this 2762-nucleotide long non-coding RNA. RefSeq lists it as uncharacterized. NCBI's taxonomy places the organism in Eukaryota, Metazoa, Arthropoda, Insecta, Hemiptera, Aphididae. The record is from RefSeq and is a predicted model, not a curated record. The transcript is spliced from 3 exons.